Molecule: long non-coding RNA, 1079 nt
Organism: Engraulis encrasicolus (European anchovy)
Lineage: Eukaryota; Metazoa; Chordata; Actinopteri; Clupeiformes; Engraulidae
Exons: 3
Source: RefSeq, a predicted model, not a curated record
GUUAUCCUGAACUUUUAUUCUGACGGGGUAACGACGCUCCCCUUUUCCUUCCGGUGGGUAGCGUAUAUCAUUCCGGUGGUAACUAGCUAGCAAAGAGGCUAUGUUUUUGAUGCUGCAGUGUGUAGCGUGGGGUACACCGCUCUCUCUCUGUGGUUGAGCCAUCGUACAGGAAAGCCCUGUCCAUCGGCGGCUGGCGUGGGGUCGGCUGCUGUUCUGGGAUGGUGUGCUGAGCUGGGCAAACUCAAGUGUCGCUGGUGAUGUUCUUCCACUUUGUGUCCUGUGUGGUUGACUGCUUGCAUGCCGCUUCGAGAGAACCAGAGGAGGAGUUGGUGCCUUCGACUACACUGAUGCAGUGUCACUAGAGAAGGGGGGCAUCACUGUUCUUUUCCCAACCUUUUGUUUCGUUUUGUCCUAUUGUGUGAGUGAUUCAUCCUGUACAACCUUUUCACUUUGACGUCCGAGACGAAGGGGCUUGUGUAAGUUUCACUCUAACAUCCGAGACAAAGGGGCUCGUGUAAGUUUCUACUUAGUAACCGCCAAGACGGAGCUUGUGUAUAUGAUUAGGGUAUGAACACUGAAGUAUUACUGGGAGACGUAUCUUAAAUCUCAGACUCCUUUUGGAACCUAUACUUGCUGUAGGGGGAGACCAAAGACGUGUGUCUAACAGGCUUGUGUGUGUGUGUGGUGGCCAUUACCAAUUUUGCCCUUUUGGCAGUUUGUUUUCUUUUUAAAAUUUGAUUUACUAACUUUGUUUGCCGUGCAUUUUUUGUUAUUUGGUCUACCCCUCGUGCAAAUGCCAAUUUCCAUUGGCACUUUUGCAUAACUUGCACAUUUGCACAUUUUGUAUAUUAAGAUGACGUGCCUUUAGGUACUGUAAAUGUUCAUAUGCUCUAUUUUUAUAUGUGACUGAGCCCGUGAGGCAUAUUUUCAGAAAGAGAUUCAUUACGAAAAGAAGAAAAUAAAAAGAACUCUGGAUUGUAUGACAGUUGUAUCUCUUGUUAUUCACUAACCUGUUGCGGGGAAAGUCAAAUCAAGUGUUUGAUGGUUGGGUUCUCUCACCCUAACAAAUGAGAGUGGCG